Molecule: transfer RNA, 73 nt
Filed under: Chloroflexota bacterium
Lineage: Bacteria; Bacillati; Chloroflexota
Description: tRNA-Thr
Rfam family: tRNA
About the family: Transfer RNA (tRNA) molecules are approximately 80 nucleotides in length. Their secondary structure includes four short double-helical elements and three loops (D, anti-codon, and T loops).
Source: RNAcentral
GCCGAUGUAGCUCAAUUGGCAGAGCUCCUGUUUUGUAAACAGGUGGUUGCGGGUUCGAGUCCCAUCGUCGGCU